Molecule: ribosomal RNA, 251 nt
Filed under: uncultured bacterium
Lineage: Bacteria
Description: partial 16S ribosomal RNA
Rfam family: Bacterial small subunit ribosomal RNA
Source: RNAcentral
AGUAACGCGUAUGCAACUUACCUAUCAGAGGGGGAGUAACCCGGCGAAAGUCGGACUAAUACCGCAUGAAGCAGGGGCCCCCGGCAUGGGGAUAUUUGCUAAAGAUUCAUCGCUGAUAGAUAGGCAUGCGUUCCAUUAGUUUGUUGGCGGGGUAACGGGCCCACCAAGACUACGAUGGAUAGGGGUUCUGAGAGGAAGGUCCCCCACAUUGGAACUGAGACACGGUCCAAACUCCUACGGGAGGCAGCAUG